GGGCCCGCACAAGCGGCGGAGCAUGUUGCUUAAUUCGAGGCAACGCGAAGAACCUUACCAGGGUUUGACAUCCUGCGAAUCUCUUGGAAACAGGAGAGUGCCUUCGGGAACGCAGUGACAGGUGGUGCAUGGCUGUCGUCAGCUCGUGUCGUGAGAUGUUGGGUUAAGUCCCGCAACGAGCGCAACCCACGUCUUUAGUUGCCAGCAUUUAGUUGGGCACUCUAGAGAGACCGCCGGUGAUAAACCGGAGGAAGGUGUGGAUGACGUCAAGUCAUCAUGCCCCUUACAUCCUGGGCUACACACGUACUACAAUGCUACGGACAAAGGGCAGCAAACUCGCGAGAGCUAGCAAAUCCCAUAAACCGUGGCUCAGUUCAGAUCGUAGGCUGCAACUCGCCUACGUGAAGGCGGAAUCGCUAGUAAUCGCAGGU
This 431-nucleotide ribosomal RNA is filed under the name uncultured bacterium. RNAcentral describes it as "bacterial SSU rRNA". It matches the Rfam family "Bacterial small subunit ribosomal RNA", at positions 917 to 1349 of the family's 1533-position model. The record is from RNAcentral.